Molecule: ribosomal RNA, 253 nt
Filed under: uncultured bacterium
Lineage: Bacteria
Description: partial 16S ribosomal RNA
Rfam family: Bacterial small subunit ribosomal RNA
Source: RNAcentral
UACGUAGGGGGCUAGCGUUGUCCGGAUUUAUUGGGCGUAAAGAGCGUGUAGGCGGCCAGGUAGGUCUGCUGUGAAAACUCGAGGCUCAACCUCGAGAUGUCGGCGGAAACCAUCUGGCUAGAGUCCGGAAGAGGAGAGUGGAAUUCCUGGUGUAGCGGUGAAAUGCGCAGAUAUCAGGAAGAACACCAAUGGCGAAAGCAGCUCUCUGGGACGGUACUGACGCUGAGACGCGAAAGCGUGGGGAGCGAACAGG